UGGACAUUCUAUUGAUUCAAAAAUUGUUUAUAGGCAUCGCAUUUUUUUUAAUAGGUUAAAUUAUUGUAUAAUUCACCGUUUGUAUUAAACACUGCAUGGUAGUAAGGAGUGUAUAAGUUACAAAAAUUGUUAGGGAAUCUACAGUAUAGAAUUUAGAUAACUAAUAUGCUUUUCCUAUUUUGUCUACACGCGAGUAUAAUGAUGGAAAAAUAGUGCACAAUAUAUGUCCUAUAAUAUAUAAUUCAAUAGCCAUUUACCCUCGCCUUUUAUACCAUGCCCAUUGAAUGCAAAGGCAGCAUUGAAUGACAGCAGAUAUAAUAGAAAAAUACUUUCCUAUAAAACCUUAUAACGGUAUAAAGUUUCUCUACACUUUGUCAGGGUCAGAGAUAUAUUAUACAUAAUUCAUAUUAAAGUCCCACACAGACACACCAUUACUCGAUAAGUUUUUAUAAGCAUUUUAAAGUUUCUAUUGAUACAUCGGCUAUUUGUCUCUAGCAUAGUUGGAUGAAAACUUCUAAAAUAUGAUGAAGAUUGCCGUAUUGAUAUAAAUAUUGAUUAACACAGCAGCAUGAUACAGGUCGAAAAAAGCAGGAUUAUUCCGCUAUAAAAGGCCAAUUGCAAUGCCAAAUAUAAAAGUCUUUAUAAGAUUUAUAAUGUGCCUGCUGAGAUUGCUGCACGUCAAACAUGAUAUGAUAUAAUAUACUAUAAAAUAAAAUACUUGUGUCUGAUGUUUAACUGUAUGUAUCGUAUUAUAUAUUAUCGUUGUACCGCAUAGCACGCACGGAGAAGUCUUGGCGUAAACGAAUGGCGUUCAUAAGAUAACCAAUAGAGUUCACUGGUGAAAACAGAUAGCUAUACUUCGAAGUAAUUCUUGCUCGUUGAGUUUCAGCAAUGCCCAGAGAACAAUGUAGUCCAUAUAAAGAACGCGGGUUUUUAAUUCUGUGCUAUCACAAGUCAAGAUACAGUAGCAUUGUUUACAAACAGUUGGCGAUGUUUCGGAAACCAAAAGAUCACGUAAUAAAAAAAUCCGUUUGAAUAUCGGACAGGAUACACGGCCAGAUCGUUCGUUUGAUCGGUGUGGAAGAUAUUAAAGUAGCUUCUACGAUGAAGCGUGUUCAACUUCGCAAGCUGUAGGUAGCGUGUGGCGUUCUUUCC
Molecule: non-coding RNA, 1155 nt
Organism: Paramuricea clavata
Lineage: Eukaryota; Metazoa; Cnidaria; Anthozoa; Malacalcyonacea; Plexauridae
Source: the annotation of a GenBank genome assembly